AGUUUGCUGCUACAUAUUUUGUAGUUAUUGAACACUACAUUUAACUACAAUUGACUACAUUAAAACUACAGUUUGCAUUAAUGUACAGACUUGAACUACUUAUUUUGUAGCUGUUAUUUGUAGUUUUGUAGCUGUUAUUUGUAUUUUGUAGCUGGCUCACAGCUUUAAUAUACAGACUUGAACUACAUAUGACUUAGCUGGCUCACUGUUAUUUGUAACUAACA
RNAcentral lists this long non-coding RNA (224 nucleotides) under Nicotiana benthamiana. RNAcentral's name for it is "long non-coding RNA (NBEN_LNC004550)". Lineage: Eukaryota; Viridiplantae; Streptophyta; Magnoliopsida; Solanales; Solanaceae. The record is from RNAcentral.